AAUCAAAAGUUAUUCAAGAUAUCGUAGGAAAGAUUUUCACUGAAUUAAAUCAACCAAUCUCAAGUGUAUCCACAGAUUUAGUUGGGAUGGAUUCUCGCGUGAAAGAAAUGCUUUCUUGCUUAGACAUGGGGCUGCAUAAAGUUUGUGUCAUAGGGAUUUUGGGCAUUGGGGGAAUAGGUAAGACAACUGUUGCAAGAGUUGUUUACGAGAGGAUAUGUGCUCAAUUCGAAGCUUGCAGCUUUCUUGCCAAUGUUAGAGAGGUAACUGAAAAACAAGGUCUAGUUGAUUUGCAAAAGCAACUUCUGUCAGAUAUCUUGCUGGAAAGUAAUGUAAAUGUACAUAAUAUUUAUCAGGGGAUCAGUUUAAUAAGGCAGAGACUACAUACUAAAAUGGUUCUUAUCAUUCUUGAUGAUGUGGAUACUGUGGAACAACUGGAAGCAUUAUGUCAUCAUAGUUGGUUCGGUUCAGGGAGUAGAAUUAUCAUAACAUCAAGAAAUGAACAUUUGUUGAGCACAUUUGGAGUGAAUAAAGUGUAUAAGGUUAAGGAAUUAAAUGAUUCUGAAGCUGUUAAACUGUUUAGUAGGAAAGCCUUCAAGAAAGACCAAGUUGGAGAAAAUUUUCUCAAGCUGUCUAAGAAUGUGGUUGAAUAUGCCAGUGGUCUUCCAUUGGCUCUUACAGUUUUGGGUUCAUUCCUUUUUGGUAAAAGCAUUGAACAAUGGUCAAGUGCAUUGGAUAGACUAAAAGAAAAUCUCGAUAAAGGAAUUAUCGAUGUGCUUAAAGUAAGCUUUGACACAUUACAAGUCACCGAAAAAAAAGUAUUUUUGGACAUUGCAUGUUUCUUUAAAGGGGAGGACAAAGAUCAUGUAGCAAAAAUACUAGAAAGUGGUUGCAGAUACCGUCCAGACAUUGAUAUAAAAGUUCUCAUAGAUAAAUCUCUAGUAACUCUAGUUGGAAGAAAAUUGUGCAUGCAUGAUUUGAUACAAGAAUUGGGUUGGGAAAUUGUACGUCGAGAAUGUUGUGAAGAUCCAGGAAAACGUAGCAGGUUGUGGCUUCCCAAGGAUAUCAUCCACGUACUUGUACAAAAUAAGGGAACGGAUACAAUUGAAGGUAUGUUCCUCAACUUGCUGAAACAAGAGGAUGUUGACUUGAAUGCUAAUUCCUUCUCAAAGAUGUCCAACCUAAGAUUGCUCAGAAUUUGUAAUGUGGCCUCUCCUAGAUCCAUUGAAUAUCUUUCUAAUGAGUUACAACUUUUGGAAUGGCAUGCAUGUCCUUUAGAUUCUUUGCCGUCAAACUUUCAAUCAGAUAAGCUGGUUGAACUCAAAAUGCAUUCGAGCCGUGUCAAACAGCUGUGGAAUGGAAAUGAAAGCUGGAGCAUGCUAAAGUGCAUCAAUCUGAGUGAUUCCCAAUACUUGAUCAAAACCCCAAACUUCACUAAGGCUCCAAAUAUUGAGAUGUUGGUGCUUCAAGGCUGUUCAAGAUUGGUUGAUGUUCACCCGUCCAUGGGAAUUCUCAAACAGCUUAUCUUGCUGAAUAUGAGAAACUGCAAAUCUGUAAAGACUCUUCCGUCUUUCAUUAAUAUGGAAUCUCUUGAGAGUUUAAAUCUGUCCGCCUGUUCAAGACUCAAGAAGUUUCCUGAGAUAGAAGGGAAUAUGCGAAGCCUGUUGGAGCUUCAUCUAGAUGGGACUGCCAUAGAAGAAUUACCUCCAUCAAUUGAACAUUUGACCAGUCUUGCUUUGUUGAAUCUAGGAGACUGCAAAAACCUUUUUCAUCUUCCGAGUACCAUUCAACAUUUGACAUCUCUGAAAACUCUCAUUCUAACUGGUUGCUCAGAACUUAGUGACAUACAUGAGAAUCUGAAUUGUGUGGAAUGUCUGGAGGAGCUUGAUAUAAGUGGAACUGCUAUAAGAGAAUCGUCGUUCAUUGUAGGUUUGAAGAAUCUAAAGUCUCUAUCUUUUCGAGGUUGUAAAAAUCAGCCUUCAAGAUCAUGGCAUUCAGUCUUUAAUUAUUGGUGGCGGGGUAGAAACGGUCAUGUUCCUGGUAGUUUAUUGUUGCCUACUUCACUUUCAGGUUUAAGUUCUUUGACAAACCUAAACCUAAGUGAUUGUAAUCUGAUGGAUGGAGAAAUUCCCAAUGAUCUUGGUUCCUUGUUCUCCUUAAAAACAUUAGAUUUAAGGCAGAAUAAUUUUGUUGGCUUACCUGAAACCAUCUCUCAACUCUCCAAGCUUGAAUUUAUCAAUGUGAGCAAGUGUAGCAGGCUUCAAUUGCUGCCUAAGAAGCUUCCAUUAAGUCUUCAACGUGUGAAUAUGGAAGAUUGUGCUUCACUGAUAGACUUCCCAAAUCAAGUCAAAAUAUUUGCUUCACCUCUCUUGGGAAAGACUACUAGCGAUUCCCGCAUUUCAUCCAAGUUUCAAGAUUUCAAUUCUGAGAAACAAGAAUGGAGACCAGUUGACGAUUUGCAAAUUCAAUUGCUUCAAAGACAGCUUGAAGUAUUGAACUAUAGAUUAACUCCCUUACAGGCAGUUAGUUAUCAAACAGAAAUUCCAGAGUGGUUCAGCCAUAUGGUUACAGCGUGUUCUAUUGCAAUCCAGCUAUCUCCAGAUUUGAUUGAUUAUAGAAAGUUGAUGGGGGUUGCUCUAUGUGCUGUUUUCUCACUAAAGGGACAUCCUGCUGCCUCUUGCAUUGGAUCGGAUUCAGGAACUUCUUACUUCUAUCAAUGCAAAUUACCAAUUCAUAAAUUUUUUGAAUCUAAACCAUUAAUCCUUCAUGGCAAGCUACAUCGCAAAUUUGGAACUGAUGAUUUUCUUUGGGUUUUCUAUUUACCUCGUCGGUUCUUUCCAAAUGUGUUAAGUGAUUCAAGUGUUAUGAGUGCUCUAUUUGAAACCAACAACCCAUGCAUGGAAGUGAAGAAAUGUGGGGUUCGUCUAGUGUAUGAGCAAGAUGUUGCAGGGUUUAUCCAAACAUUACUACAGUGUGUUACUACUGGACCCCAGCCACAUCAAAUUGUCCCUUAUGAUGACUACAGGAUAAUUGAAGAAUUUGAUGAAGAUGGCUUUAAAACUGGAUGGUUUAGUAUAGUGGAUAACGUUUGGAGAUGGCAGAAAUUAAUUCCAGCUUAUGAAGAAGGUGUUGGUCCAGCGUAUGAAGGUGGUGUUCGAUUACCAUUUUGGUGUAACGUUUGGAUAAGGUGUAAGACUGGACUUGCCUUUCUGGUGUGAAGUUUCGAAGCAGGAACAGCAGAGGAAACAGAGGAUUCGGCCAGUCAGAUGAGGUUGGGUGGCCGGUAGUGUUACUCCGAGAAAAAAAAUGUGAAACGUACUUGUGUAUUAAGCCCGCCCUUAUUCUGUUUUCAUUACAAGAUCAAUAUGAUUUUGCUUUGCCUUUUGCAUCUCUCAAUAUAUUGACACCAAAAAAGAAAAAAACUUCAAGUAGACUAUGCGAAUUGUAUCUCUCAAUAUCUCACAAUAAUUAAUACAUGGAUUCCGAAGGAGAAA
Non-coding RNA from Prunus avium (sweet cherry), 3491 nucleotides. The record is from RefSeq and is a predicted model, not a curated record. NCBI's taxonomy places the organism in Eukaryota, Viridiplantae, Streptophyta, Magnoliopsida, Rosales, Rosaceae.